This 3427-nucleotide long non-coding RNA is filed under the name Homo sapiens (human). Its description in RNAcentral is "HSALNT0345105". The record is from RNAcentral. Lineage: Eukaryota; Metazoa; Chordata; Mammalia; Primates; Hominidae.
GAGAUGGUGUUUUGCCACGUUGCCCAGGUCUUGAACUCCUGGGCUCAAGCGAUCCACCUGUCUAGUCCUCCCAAAGCUCUAGAAUCACAGGUGUGAGCCACUGUGCUCAGCCCAUUUACAUUCUUGAUCAAAUAAUCUCCACUCUUCUCUUAAGAUCCUGGGAACACUACAUGGGUCCCAUGAUGAUGUUUGGGACUUGCAGACUAAAUGAGACCGCCAAUUUAAUGCAUCUAUUAAUAUUAGUCAAGUUAAACGUCUUAAUUUUUGAUAAAACUAAAUGUAAGUGGAAGUUUUAGCAUUUUCUCCAGCACUCCAAUGGAUCAGCGCUGGACAUUCUGUUUGGGAGACCACUGAUCUAGAUCAAGGGCUGUUGGAAGGGCUGUGAAAUUCUUUAAUACUUAAAAAAUUAUUUAAUUUAAAAAAUUGACAGAUAACAUGAUGUUUUCAAAUAUGUCUACCUUGUGGAAUGGGAAAGUCAAGCUAAUUAACAUAUGCAUUACUUCGCAUAAAUCCUUUGAUACUUUUUAUUAGAUUCUGCCAUAUUGCUUACUAUAGCUUUGGGAAACACAGGGGCGAUAUGGAUGGAUCACCAUUGUACAGUCAAAGAAACUCACAGGAAGGCACCCUGGUCACUUCCAAGAUUGUGGACUACUGGGGCCAUCUCUGUUUUAUUACCUCUAAUCACUAAGUGAGUCUUUGCCCCAUUUUCUUAAGGCUGUGUUGUUCUUUUAGACUGGCUACAGUGGGGCUUCCAAAGAUAAGACAGAAUAUCCCAUAGCAAACAAGCUGUCAAGUUGGCCAGGGUGAUUUGUUAGGAUUUCUUUUUUGGCCAAUUAAAAAAUAGCUGUCAAAAGCACUACUUUGUAGGACUCAUUAAGGUAAUGUUCAAAUUGUCUCUAAUGGUUCUUUGACCAUGAUUAAGCAAAACAAAUAACACAAAACAAAAAUCUUCCUAUUUCCCAGAGUCCUGGGUUUAUCACAAAUGCUAUUAAGGUUACGAGUUUUGUCCUUUGAUAAAAGAAGAACCACGUUUGGAAAUUGUCAUUACCCUUUAUUUUUCAACACACACACACACACACACACACACACACACACUCCUACAUUGGUUUGUUUCUGAGCGAUGUGUAAGGGAAUUAAAAAAAUCCUUUGGUAAAUACAUAUGCUAGUGUAAAUGGGUAGAAGUUAUUAGUUUUAAACACUUCAUAUAGUAUGGAGUGCAAGUAACAAGGCUCCCAGCUGAAAUGAUUAAAAAGUGAUAUUGUAGAAAAAGGUGUGGUCCCAGACUUCCUGUACCAGUGUUACUUGUUGAGAUUGUUCUGAAUCUGCCUAUUCUCAGGUUCCUCCUCCAGGAUACUGACAUAGCAACAACACGGAUUUUUCAGGCGAUUCUUAGGAACAAUGGAGUUUGAGCACCAUUUGGUCUAGGCUGUGUGUCAAUAAAGGUAUCAACUCAAGCGUGUACACACUGCAGUCUGCUGUACUGGAAAUGACUUAUUUAUUCUACGUUCAUUCACAGCUUCUGUUUAUGGCAUAAUACCUUCUGAGAGUAGGCCAUUAUGACAACAAUGCCUCUGUUUCCUCCAGAUUCUUGGCUGUCACUAUCCUGACCUACCACCUGUGUCACAUCCCAUUAGGUUCUGUGGAUGAGGCAUGGUGCUUGGCACAGACUGACACAAGUUUGGGCAAACUUGGCAGAGCAGCCUAACCCAAAGCGAAAAACAGAAAUGAACCAAGAUACAACCUCUGUGGAAAACCCUACUGAACAAAAGCAACUCUGUGGAGUGUCCUCUCAGCUGCAAAUUGAGACAGAAUUGUGGGGCAAGCUUGGCCACUGAUGCAGAUUCUGCAGCUUGCUACACAGAAAGCCAGAGACCGAGAGCCAAUGACUGAGACUAUGAGUAUUGCCAAGGAAGAAGGCUUUAAUCGGGUGCUGCAGCUGAAAAGAUGAGAGCUCAGCCUCAAAUCCAUCUCCCUGACCAACUAAAGCUAAGGAUUUAUAUAGCAGGGAAGAAGACAGGAACUAGGAAGGGGCAAGGAAGCGAUCCUGAUGAAUGAAGGGUCAGGCAUUUCAUUGUCUGGAUGUGGCGAUCUGGGAGAGAAGAGAGGAAGGCAGAGAAGGCCUGAACAAGCCUGGCUGGGGAGGGCUCCCAGAGUCCUUGUGACAGAGAUGACUCUACCCACACUUGGGAGACUGAUGUGUCAGGAAAGCAUGCACAGGUAAGUGAGAUGCUAGGUCAACGAAUCAGCAAAGAGAGUCGGAAGGGAAUCUAGGAGUUGAUGUGGAAAGCCAUGGUGUCAAACCAGAGAUUACGGCCUGGGCUCAGAGUGUCUGGAGGGUGAGAGGGCAGUGCUGGCCAACUACACAGACCAGGCAUUGGAGCCAGUGAUGGCCUAGGUGUGCUGGCUGCAGCCCAGCUCAGGGCUCAGGGGAAGCUGGCUGCAUUUAAAGGACUGAGGCACUGCAAAAUGUUACACCCCUAAACUGUGGAGAUAUUGGCCAAAGCUCCUUUCAGGAGUGGCAAGAGCUGUGUGUCUGAACCAGUCCUAGUACUGGCCGUGAUCCUGACAACGUGUUCACGUGUGCUCUUAAGUUAAACCAAUCUACAGAGGUCAUCCGGAGUGUUGGCUUCAUUCCCUCCUUACCCCACACAAUCCCCCUAACGCUUUGCAGAAUAGAGACCUCUCAAAUACUGUAAAAAGAGGUAUGUGAAUUUGGGUUAGCCCAAUUGGUUUUGUGGUUUCUGUUUGGUUGGGCUGUCAAGAAUUUGUUCUGUUGGGUGUGGUUGGGUGACAGAGUUGUUAGUUAACCAGACCUGAGAAGAGGAGGGAGCCAUGUACAACCUGCCUAGCACUAGUAGUUGGCAUUAAACCCUAGAGAGGUUCCCAUUUCUCUCAAGUGGAGUCUUAUUAGGUACAUCUCUCCAUCCCCCCUACUCCACCUCCUUGAAUACAGAAUAAAGGUACACAUUUAUAGGCUCCCAGAGGGCAGGGACCAUGUGAUGUAAUCCUUUAUAUCCAGUGUUAGAUACUGUCUAAUAUGGUAGCCUCUAACCCCUUCAGAAAGAGCUACCCUGAAUUGAGAUGUGCUGAAUUUUGAAGACUCAACAUGGAAAAAAUAAUGCAAAACAUCUUAUCAGCAUGUUCUUACAUUAAUUAUGUUGGAAUAAUAUUUUGGUUAAGGGAAACAUAUUAUUAAAAGUAAUUUCUUCAGUUUCCGUUUACUUUUUUUAAUGUGGCUACUCAAAAAUUUAAAACUCCAUACGAGGCAUGAAUCUUCUGAUAGGUAGCACUGUUUAAUACCUUCUCUGGUGGCAAAUCCAAAACACAGAUCUUAUAUAAUUUGGAUAAUAAACCCCCUUCAGUCACCAGUGAGCCCACACUGAUAAAAGAAAGAAACUGAUCGCAGAGCCGCCGAGAUCCCAACCCA